This is a long non-coding RNA of Phoenix dactylifera (date palm), 394 nucleotides long. RefSeq lists it as uncharacterized. Lineage: Eukaryota; Viridiplantae; Streptophyta; Magnoliopsida; Arecales; Arecaceae. The record is from RefSeq and is a predicted model, not a curated record.
CUUUGCAGGCACAAAACAAUACUUCACAUCACAGGAGCAAACAUGGCCAAACAAUCCACCCUCAUGGCUUCGUUUGUACUACUUCUCUUGUUGAUGGCUUCUGGUCGGGCAAUUUCGACAGCUCCCGGAUUCGAAGCAGAUGCAUGCAUGAGAGAUGCUGAUUGCCGGGCUGAGUGUGGGAAGUGCCCCGGUGCCAAUUGCCUCGGCCACAAGUGCUUCUGCACAUGCGAUACCUGAUGGCCUAUCCUUCUCUAAAAAUAAGAUCCAUCAACAUGGAUGGAGUAGCACAAAUUCGCCUUCAUGAAUCCCAAGUGAUGCUGCGGCCUUUGUAUCAGCUAAGUUAAAUGCAAUAUAGAGCUUCAAUAAAAAGUUCUCAAGAAAAAAGUUCAACAAA